GCAGUAGCCACGGUAAUACGUAGGUCCCGAGCGUUGUCCGGAUUUAUUGGGCGUAAAGCGAGCGCAGGCGGCUAGAUAAGUCUGAAGUUAAAGGCUGUGGCUUAACCAUAGUACGCUUUGGAAACUGUUUAACUUGAGUGCAAGAGGGGAGAGUGGAAUUCCAUGUGUAGCGGUGAAAUGCGUAGAUAUAUGGAGGAACACCGGUGGCGAAAGCGGCUCUCUGGUUUGUAACUGACGCUGAGGCUCGAAAGCGUGGGGAGCAAACAGGAUUAGAUACCCCAGUAGUCCCUGUCUCUUAUACA
RNAcentral lists this ribosomal RNA (302 nucleotides) under uncultured bacterium. Its description in RNAcentral is "partial 16S ribosomal RNA". It matches the Rfam family "Bacterial small subunit ribosomal RNA", at positions 508 to 808 of the family's 1533-position model. The record is from RNAcentral.